ACAUAUAAAUCAUUGCCAGGAAGUCUGGAUCACACGCUGAGUUUCUUGGCCUCACCCAUUUGUCCUCAGUGAAAUCUCCAGAAGCUCUUCAUGAGGAUAUCACAAAGGAAAGGAUACUGAAAUUUCUGGGAGGUAAAACUGUACAUCUAAUUGUGGAAAGCACAGGCGUGGUAGUACUCCGUGUUAAAAAUAUCCGUCUGUACACUUAGGGAGGUGAAGAAUGAUAUGGCACAUCCUACAAAUCAGCACCCAUGUCUAUUCUGUCAUAGACAUACAAUUUAGGGGUUACCUUAGAACCUUAGAAUACUUAUAGAGAUGCAGGUGUUAUUUUCCUUUUUUUUUUUUUUUUUUUUUUUUUUUUUUUGGUAGAAUUAGUAUUCGCUGAAUUGAUGUGUAUACAUUUUUGUACUUUCUGUUGCCUAGGGCUAUUGCACUUCAGUCUUUGAUCUUGCACGCUAAGCUGGUUGGAGGUUGGCCAGUACUUGGAUAAGAGAUUUCAUAGGAAUUUCAUGAUGCUGGGAGGAAUUGUUUUUGACUGGAGAUGGCACUUUCUGCUAUGAGUCAAUGCUGAACAAAUACCCCUGGAUGGCACCAGGGUGCCUGGAAUGCCACAGGCUCCAUCUGUAGAGGAGACAUAAAAUGUGGCCAUGCAAUCUGAUUUCCUAUGACUACACAUGUCCUGGCCAAAGUAAGAUCUAUGUAAUUAAUCCUGCAGCCAAUAGUUUCAGAUAAUAUAUUAUCGCUCUCUCUCCUAACCUAUUGCUGAGGAUUUCUCUGCACAGGUGCAGCAUUUCUGAGAAGGAUGAAGAAGGAGAUCAUGUCUGUGGACAGAUGUAGUCAUUCUGACAGCAUUUAUUGUUGUGUAUGGCUAGUGUGUGGUGAGGUGUGCAGGUACCAAACAGGUAACCAUAUAAAUGUUUAGCCAGUUAAGAAAGCUUGUUAACUCCCACUUGAAUAGAGGUGUGGUUGUUUUUGUACACGCCAUGGCCCAUAGACUCCUUCCUUUCCCAAAGGGGCACGUAACGAAUCUUGGCACAGAGGUGCUUGGGGCUGGAUCCAGAAGCUGCCUCUGAGAGACCUGGGGGGUGUGCUUUGAAGGGCUCUCUUCUGCUGCACGGGGAAUGUCCUGGGCUGGGAGAUUUCCCUGCAUGAAUGUGGAAAACAGUGGUGAAAAACUGGCCAUAAUUUUUAAAGCAGGGACUUUCAUAGCAAUGUUCUGCAAACAGUGUCUCAUUUGCCAUUAGAGAGUGACCCCUUAAUCACAUUGACAAGUAAUCACUCACAUGAGUAAUCCUAUUGACAUCAGUUGGACUGGAGCUGCAUCAUUAUAAUUUAGCAAAUAACUACUCAGUUGUUUAGAAUAUAAAUGCUUCUAAUUUAUGUGGAAAUUGAAGGCAUUUCUAUCUCAUUCAUUAAAGAAAACAUGAUGUGAAUUAUCACUUACUUAACAUAUCCAGGGAAAGGCAGUUCUGAAGCUGCAUAAUGCAAUAAACAGAAUGAAUCUUUUUUUCAACCAAUGGCUGCGUGAGACUCCCAGUGAAUGUUUCCUGUGUUUUUCUACUACCCAAAUGGUAAACUCAAGCUGAGUUUAACACUGGCUUCUUUCCAGAUAAGUCAUCAUCAGUGGUGAAGACCUUUUGUUUUGAAUUUGCUUAGUUCAUUGGUUAGUGGUGGAUGACUCCAGGGUGGUCCUGCAGAGCUGCAUGAAUUUAUAGAGUUAAUAUGAGUGAGGAGCAAAAAUUUUCUGCCAGAGAUUUGCUGAUACAAUGCUUGGGUUAUUCAAAGAGUGUGGACAAGCUGUAAUAACCUGUUGUAUUUUUUGAGGACUGGAGUAUGACUCCAGUUUUUUGGAAGCCAUGAAAGUCCAUUGUCUUGCUAAAUUCUAGUUUGGAAGUUGGAUCUCCUCUCCUUAAACUUCCCUGCAGCUCCAUGCUAGUCAAACCUUGCCUUUAGCACCUUUUCCCAAGCAGUGAUCAGCAUUCAGCUGCUGCCAUGCUGUGCCCAGGGGACAGUGAGAUUUAAUCCUUGUUUUGGGGUCCUUCAGGCUGAGUACUGAAACAGCCAGCAGCACCACCACCCUUGCUGACUGUCUUUGCACAUGCAUAAUGAUUUUCCCUGAUUUUCAGCCUAGUGAAAUGUUAGGGCUUUACAAUUUUGAUUAGGCUUGAAGGUGGUAGGGGUUGCCCAGAUAAUAGUUUUUUAUAGCUGUUAAGACAAUUUAAGACAAGUACCGUUUUCCUCUGAGUUGUCCAUCAUGAGCUCAGUCCAGCAUUCGGUAAGGCGGUGGGGAAGCCACUUCCCUCGGUGCCCCUGGGGUCCCAUGCGUGUGAGGGGUGCCAGACCCCGUGGUCGGGGACAGUGACCCCAUCUGAGACUCCUCGGUGGCUGACGGCCGCAGAGCUGAGGUGAGGCAGGGAAGAGCUGAGAAGCUCUUCGGGUUUCCCUCUGUCUCAGUGGGAUCUCAUUUUGCCCUGUGUACACUAGAUAGCACAUCCUGCAAAGAGCACUACCUGGUGCGGGUAGCAGCUCAACUACAAGGUGUGGAGUGGGCUGGGGAAACAGCAAACGCCUUCUAGAAUAAAGAGAGAAUGCAAUGAAGCAUAUGAACAAGAAAAUGCAGACCCAAGUGUAUGUAAAUACAUAUGGCACAGCUUUUCUCAAGCCACACUUUUGUUUUGGUAGCAGGGUUGGAACGCUAUUUUUGUCUCUUCUCCCUUUGUUCUUAUUGUGAAACACAUUGUCAGAGCAUUCCUCAUCAGGAAGAGAGAAGUUUCAAAGAAGAGAUUGUCUCUUUUUCAGGGCAUUCUCCCACACCUGAGAAAUGGAUGCAUUUUUGGUAAAUCACUUUUUUUUUUUUUUUUUUUUUUUUAAGGGAAAAUUGUGUGCCAGCUGAAAUUCAUGCAUAAUCUCCUGCGUAGCCAGGGUAGAUAGCUUAAAAAGAAAACUCUGUAGUAACACAGGAAGAAAAACAAACUGAUAACUCCUGCCAGAUUGAUGGCUUCUUCCUUCAUCUAAAUCUUUAUAGAUUAGCAUGUCUGUUUUCUUUUCAUAGAUAUGUUUGUUUGCACUAUAUCAUCUAACCUAAUCUAUAAGGCAAGUAUAUUUAUCCUCGAGCUGUGAGGCAUUUAUACUGUUCACUUGUCACCAAGAAUAAUGGAGAGGAUAGGUAAGAUAAUUUCAACCAUAUUAAGGGCUGAGAGAUGACUAUAGGUAUUUUGAUAACAGGACACUCAGAGUGAAUAAACUGAAAUGCUUUUGUUACAUAUUAGCUAAAAAUACACCUUCUGUUAUGGUCUUUUUCCUGUUUUUCUUCUGUCCCGCUGCUGAGUGAGGGCACCUGGCAUUGCUCAAAUACAGGUAGACACCAGUAGCCACUGUGGGCUCACCCAAGGGACCUCCAGGGUGAAAGAUGGGAGGGUGCGUGAGGAAGAGAACCUCCAGUUCACAGACAGUGGUUUGUUUAAGUGACCUCAGGCUGCCGUUUCCCCACAGUUCCCCCCUCUCUUGUAAAUGGCAAAUAGUUCUGAAGAUGGGAGAGACACCUUUGGGCACGGUCAGUGCCAGGGCUGAUGCAAAAUUCCUGGUCACAAAGGUACUGCUUCUGGAUGACAGGCAGCUGGGGAUUCAUUUCCAGACCUAACGAAGCAGAUGAUGUCUGAAAGCCCUCUCCUAGUCUUUAUUCAGCGGGCAGCCCAUGUGCAGGUAAGACUAUGUUAGCUAUCUGCUAUUUCAUAUUCAGGUGUCAAAAGAGCUUUCCUGCAGCCCUGCUGCUUUGCCAGAUGCUCUCCAUUUUCUGUGCAUUUGAUCCUUCUUUUCUAAGCGUAACUCUUUGUAACUCUUGCCUUUGCUACCUUUCAUCUUACUGAUUUCACAGUACUUCCACAAUCAUCAAGAGUGUUUUGAAUUCUGAUCCUGUCCUCCAAAGUGCUUGCAACCACUCCCGGCUUGCUGUCAUCCACAAAUUAUGUUAGUAUCUUCUCUACUCCAGCAUCUGAGCCUGUUCAGGAGCCUCCACUUCAUCUGUCCUCUCAGCUUCACAGGAGACACUAAUAACCACUCUUUGAUUGGUGAUUUUCAAUAUAUUUGUAGCUACUUCAUGCUAAUUUUAUUUAGACUAUGCUUUUUUAGCUUUAUUUAUGAAAUUGUUUUAUGGAAUUGCAUAUAAAGUCUUGCUCACUGAGAAAUGCCAUAUCUCAUAUUUCUUCAGUGAUGAGGUCACUUACCCCCUCCUGUGCUUUCCCUCCUCUUCUCUGCCCAAAUCCUCCGUAAGUUACACUUUUUGUUAUUUAUUUAUUCUUGAGAAAUUUAUAAACUUAUAUUGGCUAUGUCUCUUGGGCCACUGUUUAAUCUUCUAGGUGAUGACAACUUGAUUGAUGAAUAAUAGAUUUCAGUGUCUUUGCAGCUGCCAAAGGGAGCUGUAAUUUCUAAGUGCAUCCCUUAAGAUAGAAGUAGUGUUUGUCCUUCUCCAGGAGUUUGUGUUUAAUCAGCUCAGUUGUCUUUCCAGUAUUGAAAAACUCUUUUCAUUGUAAUUUAUAACAGAAAUAUUCAGAAAUAAGCUAUUUACAUUGUAUGACUGUGUAGAUUAUGGGUCUAAUGUUUAGAGUGCUACAGAAAUUCUGUAAGUGAUAUUCCUGGCUCUAGAAAAUUUAAAUAUUUAGUAGGCACUGUAGACAACUGAAAGAACUGAAAACAAAUACAAAGGAAAAUUAAUUAAACUACUGAGGUUUAGAUUAGUGGCACAACAGAGGUUGAGUAUUUUAUUUUUUUGAUAGAGUAUGAAAAAUAUGGAAAAAUUAAGCUGGUCCCUUGAAGAUACUCCAAACUGAAGAAUAACAUGAAAUGUGAUUUUAUCCUCUCAAAGAUGGGGAUUUUUUAUAGUCACUAAAAUCCCCCCCUAAUUUUUGUUUGUUUGUUUCUGUUAUUCUGUAUUAUAUUUCCAAUGUGGAAAUUGAUAUACCUGACUCAUAAUGUUAGAAAAACAAGCAAACAACAACUUGGGGAAAGCCGAAUUUCAUCUUCUACUAUUACUAUGAAUACAAACAAAAAGUGGUUAUGAAUUACUUUCCAUCGAUAGAAGGCAUUUAUUUGUCCAUUUAUUUUACUGGAGUGUCUAUUGAAAUUGAAGUUCUUGAUUAAUGAUCUGCAAGAAGUUAAGCUGAAGAAAUCUGCUUUUGUAACCACAAGGAAACUGCAAGGAUGUGGUGGCUUAAAUACAACACCUACCCUAACCAAGACUGGAAGUAUAAAGCAUGCAAACACUCCUGGGCAGAACAUCAUAUAGAGGCAAACUCCCUACAAUGGAUGACUCUGAGCCCAGGCAUCCCUUUGUUGCGGUAUCAGGAAAAAAACAGAGAGAUGUUGCCAUUUGCCUAGGUGACUGAGAAGCAAUUUCAAGCAACAGGGAAGUUCUGCCCUGGUACUGUUCAUCACUUUGUUUCUAGCAGAGAAAUUAGUCAUGUUGUAAAUAAAUAAUGGAGGGAUUGUUAGAGGCAGAGUGAUGCAGCACUUUUCUCCUUCUUUUGAUUGCUGCCUUGCAGAAGCCAUUGCCAUGGAGAAGUGCAAUCUGCAGCGUGGUAGCUUUCCUCUGCAAAAAGAUGGCAGCGUGAUGAGGCACAUCACCUUCUGUGAAUGCCUCCCAGUUUUAUAACCAGAAUGCCCUCCUGAUUUUAUAAACAAAUCUUUUAGCAGCUUGUAAAGGGCUUCUCCCUCUGAUCACCCAUGUUCCCACACCUCUGCUGAAGGAGGCUUUCUUUUCAGAUCCUUCUGGUUUCCUAUGGACUAGAAAGUCCAGAGGUGCAAAACAAGUGUGAAAGUGGUAGCACAUACUGCAUCUCCACGAGAGCAUGGCUGGGAAUUUGUAACUUUAUUUUGAAUCCAAUUUUGCGGGUUAAACGGAUGGAAGUGCACCGUGUAAGUUAUUCAAGGGCCGCGUGCCCCCCUGGGUCAAGAUAGUUGCAAAAUUAAAUUUCAUUUAUUGAACCAGUGCGUUACUUCUGUUGAGAGACCACCACUCUUUCUCCCCAGAAGUAUGUUUAAAAAUUUCCAUGGUCUUUUGAGGUACGGGUAAGUUAUUCUUAAUAUUUGCUGCUUUGUACUUCCAUAUAUACUGUUUGCUUACAUUAACGGUAAGCAUGUUCUCUGCUUUCUCUAACUGCUACCAGCAGAAAUUCCAUUUUUGAGAGCAAAACAACACAAGUCUUGGGGAUUUCAGCUUGAAGAAAAUGAAUCUUAUACACACAAGAGUGUUUUGUAGGUCUAGAGCACAGCUAUCUGUCACUUAAUUAAAGAUAUAUCAUGCGAUUAUUUUUGGUCUGCAGACAGACCUGAAUAGAGGUUUGUGGUUGUGCCUGAGCUUGGUGCCACGCACCUUUCCAGUUUACCUUCCUUUCCAUUUCAAGGUCAUGGGAAAAUUACUUUUGCUGCUCCUUCCACUUCAUAUUCAUUCAUCAUUUUCAUAUGGUAACUACACAGAGUGGUGUCGUGUUGUGCAACUCAGCCACAUUGCAAGCUGCCAAAGUUAAAAAUCAUUUUUUUCUCUGCACCAGAAACAAGGAGCUGUUUCUUGUCACACUUCAAGAAAGUGAAAAGUAGAACUAGUCCAAAAGCUGUGGGUUUUAGUUUUCCCAUUCCUCAUAUGUCCUUUGGAAUUCAGAAACUUUUAACGGUCAUUUUGGACUGAAGGUAUGAGCUUUUGAUGAUUUCCUUAGAAAAACAACCUUAUAAUGCUGCUCAAUAUAUAACCAGUAACAUAACUUGUGAGGUCACUAAACCCUGUUCCUGUACAUCACUUUUUGUUUCUACCACUACCCAUUCUGAGCAGGAGGAGGAGCUGUGUGACACUGGGGGCUGGAUGGUGGAAAUCCAGCCCAGAUUUGGCGUUUGAAUUUUCUUGUGUUCCAGAGUUAAGCAGAAAUGAGUGCUAAAAGUCACUUUAACUAAUGUGUAGGAUGCUUUUGGUCACUGUGAUCUGUAGCUGGUGGCUUCACAGGUAAUGCCAAAGGGCUUGAUCCCAGAGUUAAUAAAGACCCAGACAUUUAUCGAUUUA
Molecule: long non-coding RNA, 7045 nt
Organism: Oxyura jamaicensis (ruddy duck)
Lineage: Eukaryota; Metazoa; Chordata; Aves; Anseriformes; Anatidae
Exons: 3
Source: RefSeq, a predicted model, not a curated record